Long non-coding RNA from Labeo rohita (rohu), 233 nucleotides. RefSeq lists it as uncharacterized. NCBI's taxonomy places the organism in Eukaryota, Metazoa, Chordata, Actinopteri, Cypriniformes, Cyprinidae. The record is from RefSeq and is a predicted model, not a curated record. The transcript is spliced from 3 exons.
UGAAAGGAUGAAACGCCCUUGAAUGUGGCAGCGGUGCAGGUAAUGAGUCCCGAAAUUCUCAGAAAAUAGAAAGGGAGGCCAAACCUGCAGAUGUGGAUGGCAGUGAUGUGAAUGAUGGAGCAUCUACACAGAAAAGAUGCUGGAAUCCAGAAAUUUCUUCACCUGGGGCCUACUGGGGAUGGCAAUAAACCAAAAACUAACCAAGCUGUGGGAAUACAAACCUGUAGACCUUU